AUUGAACGCUGGCGGCAUGCCUAACACAUGCAAGUCGAACGGUAACAGGCCCUUCGGGGUGCUGACGAGUGGCGGAUGGGUGAGUAAUACUUAGGAAUCUACCCUGUAGUGGGGGACAACCCGGGAAACGUCGGGCUAAUACCGCAUACGCUCUACGGAGGAAAGCGGGGGACCGCAAGGCCUCGCGCUAUUGGAUGAGCCUAAGCCCGAUUAGCUAGUUGGUGGGGUAAUAGCCUACCAAGGCAAUGAUCGGUAGCUGGUCUGAGAGGACGACCAGCCACACUGGGACUGAGACACGGCCCAGACUCCUACGGGAGGCAGCAGUGGGGAAUUUUGGACAAUGGGCGCAAGCCUGAUCCAGCCAUGCCGCGUGCGGGAAGAA
Molecule: ribosomal RNA, 382 nt
Filed under: uncultured bacterium
Lineage: Bacteria
Description: bacterial SSU rRNA
Rfam family: Bacterial small subunit ribosomal RNA
Source: RNAcentral